This 293-nucleotide long non-coding RNA is filed under the name Ananas comosus (pineapple). RNAcentral's name for it is "long non-coding RNA (ACOM_LNC044086)". Lineage: Eukaryota; Viridiplantae; Streptophyta; Magnoliopsida; Poales; Bromeliaceae. The record is from RNAcentral.
UCUAGAAUUUCAGUAGAUUGAGUGAAGAGAGAAGAAAAGAUGGUAAUUGAUUUUUCUUUUUUUUUUUCUUUUCUGUUUAUAAUCGGGCCAAAUGGGCUGGGUGUGGUGGAUUGAGUAGAAUAAUCUUUUAUUUUUGGUUGGAUUGGGUUUUAUAUUUAGGCAUUAGUAGAUGUUUUUUUAAGUUUUAACAUAAAUGGGACACUUACUAAAAAGUGUCCCAAAUAUGUGUCCCUAUAACCUAAUUCUGUUGUAGUGUCAGUUUUAAUUCAAUUUUCUCAAACUGAUUUAGAUCA